AAAUUCUCAAAGUUACAGUCUUGUUCCUACAAGGCUGCAUCUUUUGGAUGUGAGCCCUUUUGUCGUAUGGCAAUGGCUUGAAAAUGAUUGUGUUUGCACCAGCUCUAUGGCUCGGUUCUUAACAAGUGCAACAGAUGUUAACUCAUUCGUUAUCUCUUGAAGAGGAUCGUUCUCAGGUACUGGUUGAUACACUCAAAACCAAAAACUUUCGCUGAUCCUUGGAUCUUCGACUGAUA
Molecule: unclassified non-coding RNA, 236 nt
Filed under: uncultured Chytridiomycota
Lineage: Eukaryota; Fungi; Chytridiomycota
Description: sequence contains ITS2
Source: RNAcentral